Molecule: ribosomal RNA, 547 nt
Filed under: Trichoderma sp.
Lineage: Eukaryota; Fungi; Ascomycota; Sordariomycetes; Hypocreales; Hypocreaceae
Description: LSU rRNA
Rfam family: Eukaryotic large subunit ribosomal RNA
Source: RNAcentral
UACGGCGAGUGAAGCGGCAACAGCUCAAAUUUGAAAUCUGGCCCUUACGGGUCCGAGUUGUAAUUUGUAGAGGAUGCUUUUGGCAAGGCGCCGCCCGAGUUCCCUGGAACGGGACGCCACAGAGGGUGAGAGCCCCGUCUGGCUGGCCGCCGAGCCUCUGUAAAGCUCCUUCGACGAGUCGAGUAGUUUGGGAAUGCUGCUCAAAAUGGGAGGUAUAUGUCUUCUAAAGCUAAAUAUUGGCCAGAGACCGAUAGCGCACAAGUAGAGUGAUCGAAAGAUGAAAAGCACCUUGAAAAGAGGGUUAAAUAGUACGUGAAAUUGUUGAAAGGGAAGCGCUUGUGACCAGACUUGGGCGCGGCGGAUCAUCCGGGGUUCUCCCCGGUGCACUUCGCCGCGUCCAGGCCAGCAUCAGUUCGUCGCGGGGGAAAAAGGCUUCGGGAACGUGGCUCCCUCGGGAGUGUUAUAGCCCGUUGCGUAAUACCCUGCGGUGGACUGAGGACCGCGCAUCUGCAAGGAUGCUGGCGUAAUGGUCACCAGCGACCCGUCU